This 413-nucleotide ribosomal RNA is filed under the name uncultured bacterium. RNAcentral's name for it is "partial 16S ribosomal RNA". It matches the Rfam family "Bacterial small subunit ribosomal RNA", at positions 369 to 774 of the family's 1533-position model. The record is from RNAcentral.
CAGUGCGCGAAAGCCUGAUACAGCAAUGCCGCGUGCAGGAUGAAGGCCUUCGAGUUGUAACCUGCGUUUGUACGGAACGAAACGCUUUUGCUUAAUACCAUUGAGUAAUGACAGUACACUAAGACUAAUGACCGGUUAACUAUGUGGUAGCAGACGCGGUAAUACGGAGGGUGCAAGCGUUAAUCGGAAUUACUGGGCGUAAAGCGUGCGCAGGCGGUUUUGUAAGACAGAGGUGAAAUCCCCGGGCUCAACCUGGGAACUGCCUUUGUGACUGCAAGGCUAGAGUACGGCAGAGGGGGGUGGAAUUCCGCGUGUAGCAGUGAAAUGCAUAGAUAUGCGGAGGAACACCGAUGGCGAAGGCAACCCCCUGGGCCUGUACUGACGCUCAUGCACGAAAGCGUGGGGAGCAAACA